This 300-nucleotide long non-coding RNA is filed under the name Hordeum vulgare. RNAcentral's name for it is "long non-coding RNA (HVUL_LNC009232)". Lineage: Eukaryota; Viridiplantae; Streptophyta; Magnoliopsida; Poales; Poaceae. The record is from RNAcentral.
CCGUAAUCUUUACCUAAUAAUAAAGAGGCUAUCGUUUCAGUCGAAAAACCCGUCGCGUCAGUUUUGCAUAAAAACCCUCCUCUUUUCUGGGAAUCAACCAGCAAUCCUGUUUUCAUAUGAGAUAACAUUUCACUUUUGCAAAAACACCCCCUAUCCAAUCUAACCCGUGGUCAUCCCCUUCCUCUUAUCCACUCCCAGGCGACGCCACCACGCCCUCCCCGCGUCUCUUCGCCGCACCCUCUAGGUUCGCCGCCGUCGAGGCCCAGGCUGCCGCGCGCCAGCCCCGCGCAAGAAGCCGNN